GACGAACGCUGGCGGCGUGCUUAAUACAUGCCAGUCGAACGGAAAGGCCCUGCUUUUGUGGGGUGCUCGAGUGGCGAACGGGUGAGUAACACGUGAGUAACCUGCCCUUGACUUUGGGAUAACUUCAGGAAACUGGGGCUAAUACCGGAUAGGAGCUCCUGCUGCAUGGUGGGGGUUGGAAAGUUUCGGCGGUUGGGGAUGGACUCGCGGCUUAUCAGCUUGUUGGUGGGGUAGUGGCUUACCAAGGCUUUGACGGGUAGCCGGCCUGAGAGGGUGACCGGACACAGUGGGAAUGAGAUAAGGCCCAGAAUUCUACGGGAGGCAGCAGUGGGGAAUAUUGCACCAUGGGCGGAGGCCUGAUGCAGCAACGCCGCGUGCGGGAUGACGGCCUUCGGGUUGUAAACCGCUUUCGCCUGUGACGAAGCGUGAGUGACGGUAAUGGGUAAAGAAGCACCGGCUAACUACGUG
RNAcentral lists this ribosomal RNA (468 nucleotides) under uncultured bacterium. RNAcentral's name for it is "partial 16S ribosomal RNA". It matches the Rfam family "Bacterial small subunit ribosomal RNA", at positions 28 to 507 of the family's 1533-position model. The record is from RNAcentral.